Molecule: ribosomal RNA, 492 nt
Filed under: uncultured bacterium
Lineage: Bacteria
Description: partial 16S ribosomal RNA
Rfam family: Bacterial small subunit ribosomal RNA
Source: RNAcentral
AGUGAACGCUGGCGGUAGGCCUAACACAUGCAAGUCGAACGAAAACACAGUAAGCUCUUGCUCUUACGGUUGGCGGGUGGCGGACGGGUGAGGAAUACAUCGGCAUCUACUUUUUCGUGGUGGAUAUCGUAGAGAAACUUCCACUACUACCGCAUACUACCUACGGGUGAAAUCAGGGGUUCUUCGUACCUUUCGCGAUUUAUUUAGCCGAUGUCGUAUUAGCUAGUUGGCUUGGUAACGGCCCACCAAGGCAACGCUCCGUAGCUGGUCUGAGAGGAUGAUCAGCCACACUGGAACUGAGACACGGUCCAGACUCCUACGGGAGGCAGCAGUGGGGAAUAUUGGGCAAUGGGCGAAAGCCUGAUCGAGCCAUGCCGCGUGAGUGAAGAAGGUCUUCGGAUCGUAAAGCACUGUUGUUAGGAAAGAAAAGAAGCAGGAGAAAACGUGGAUGUCCUGACGGUACCUAAAGAAAAAGCACCGGCUAACUUCGUG